AUACAGUUGUUUUUUAAAACUUUAGAAUUCUCAUCUUACUUUAUUUAGGAGUAUUUUCGUUAACACCAGCUUUUUCCUCAGUCAACAAAAAAAAUUUAAAACAACUGCAGUGGUCCUCAUAUAAUCUUGUAUUUGCUAACGGUAUGAAUUUUUCUAGUUUUCAAAAUUAUCAUAUUGACAUCUGCAUUUUUGUGUGCAUACAAACAGAAAUGUUUAACUUUCAGUUACUAAAAGCAGAUAAGAAUUGGUUUUAUUUCUUAAACUGUCAAUUACUCAGAUAACUCUAAGCUAAGAAGCCUGAUCAUUUUCUAAUUCUAAGCCAAGAAAGUCCUGUUUUUUCCCAUUGAAAAAUAAACCACUUUUUUUUUAAGGCAUACUUAAAGGAUUUCCAGCUUCUGAUACUUGAUUUUGAACUCUACAUCAUGUAUUAUUAUUACAAAACUGUUUCUGCAUGUAAUCACAUUAAUUUACUUACGUCAUAUACAAAACAGUGAGGAAAUUAAGACUAUAAACAACUUUGCAACAUGGAUGUAAUAAAAGUUUCAAUACUUUGAAACAAAAACUAAUGCUGUUAAAUAAAAACUUAAGUUGAAAUUCAAGCGUGUGUAUAUAACUGCUUAAAUGUAAAUGCAUUAAGUCAAAUACAAAAAUUGUUUUUUCUUAAAUGCAUAAUUAUUUAUUGCCAUGACAAAUUGUUUGGUCCAAAAUGAAAGCUGUAUUCUGAAUGAGAUUUGCCCUUAAAUUGAAGAGGUAAUUAAUGAAACGUCCGUGCAAAAUAAAGUGCAAGCAGUGUAAA
This 796-nucleotide long non-coding RNA is filed under the name Bos taurus (domestic cattle). RNAcentral describes it as "long non-coding RNA NONBTAT012198". Lineage: Eukaryota; Metazoa; Chordata; Mammalia; Artiodactyla; Bovidae. The record is from RNAcentral.